GCUCUCCUCUCCUGCUAAGCUUUGUUUCCUGGCAGUAAUUAAAACCUUACGCCACUGCCAUAGCUACUGCUGCUGUUGGAACCGCCACAGCCACUUUGGUUUCAUAGUUUGGCAAAGUAUUGGCCUCCACCACCAUAGGGGCCAGUGCUUGUGCCUCCAAAAUUUCCUUUCAUGGGUCCAAAAUUUGAAGAUUGAUUGUUGUAAUUGCCAAAAUCAUUACAGCUUCCACCACCUCCAAAGUUGCUUCCACUACCGCUGCCAAAGCUGCCUCCACCUCCUCCAUUGUUAUAGCUGUCAUAGCUGCCACUCCCGCCAUAGCCACUGCCCUGGUUUCCAUAACCCUGUCCACCACUUUGAUAGCCUCUGCUUCCUCCAGAGUAACCAGGGCCGCCUCCUCCAUAACCACCAUCAUUACCAAAUCCGUUAUAGCCAUCCCCACUGCCACCAUAUCCACCACCACCUUGACUGCCACCAAAGCCACCUCACCCACUGAAGUUUCCUCCAUGGCCAAAGUUGUCGUUCCCACCUAAACCACCUCCACAACCACUGCUGAAGUUCCCAGAACCACUUCGACCUCUUUGGCUGGAAGAAGCACCAGCCAUCUCUUGCUUAGAUAAAGCUUUCCUUACUUCACUGUUGUGGCCAUUCACAGUAUGGUAUUUUUUAAUGACAAUCUUGUCUACAGAGUCAUGGUUGCCAAAUGUUACAAAAGCAAAGUCUGUCUUUUUGCCACUGCCUCGGUCAGUCAUGAUUUCAAUCACUUCAAUUUUCCCAUACUGUUCAAAAUAAUAUUUUAGGUAAUGUUUUUCAGUGUCUUCUUUAAUGCUACUGACAAAAAUCUUUUUCACAGUUAAGUGGGCACCAGGUCUUUGAGAAUCUUCUCUCGAGACAGCCCUCUUUGGUUCUACAACUCUUCCAUCCACCUUAUGUGGCCUUGCAUUUGUGGCUGCGUCCACCUCUUCCACAGUGGCAUGCAUACGUGACAAACCCAAAGCCUCUGGAGAACUUGGUGUUUGGAUCUCUCAUUAGCACACAGUCCGUAAGCAUUCCCCACUGCUCAAAAUGGCUCCUCAGACUCUCAUUGGUUGUUUCAAAGCUCAAACCUCCGAUGAAAAGCUUCCGCAGCUGUUUAGGCUCUUUGGGAGACUCAGACUUAGACAUGAUGGCGGUGAGAGGGGAGACUUUCACGAUGCUUACUCAGCAGCGUCCACGGGCAGAAAG
Molecule: long non-coding RNA, 1221 nt
Filed under: Lynx pardinus (Iberian lynx)
Lineage: Eukaryota; Metazoa; Chordata; Mammalia; Carnivora; Felidae
Source: RNAcentral